GGCGUCAAGCUGCAAGCCCAGAGGAUUCAGCUGGCUAGGAUGUUGUGUAUGCGCCUGGCGCAUCUAUCAGCCGGAGUAAGAUGUGAUAGUCCACUGGUAAACGGUGGGCCCGGCCGCAAGGUUGGGAUAUGUGUACCGGGCGGAAGCCGGAGCAUGCUAUUCGUCUGUUGGGCUGUCUAGUCAGUGCACUUUCUCUGUGGUGAACACCACGACCGGUGGAAUUGCCAGUCUGCUGUAGUCAAGUCGUAUUCAGUCGGUUCUUGUAGUCAACUGGGUGCGAUCACAGGCAAACUCAGUAAACGGCGUAGGGGUGUCUCGGCAUCCUUACGUGUUAUCGGCUGCUGGUUGUCAACGGGCCUGCUUGAUGAUUGUUGUAACCGUCAUUAGGUGGUCUGGUGGGCUAUGGUGGUAAGAAUAACUGUGCAAGGCAUCGGAGUUCUCGGCCUCAAAUGCAUCCUGCAUACACGUUACAAGUGGAGUGGGGUGCCAUUGCAGCCUGCCUGUUGUUGGGUCUGAUUGUCGUGUCGCCUGCGCAAAGUGGGCCCGGCA
RNAcentral lists this ribosomal RNA (549 nucleotides) under Phyllobothriid sp. 1 PDO-2006. RNAcentral describes it as "partial 28S ribosomal RNA". Lineage: Eukaryota; Metazoa; Platyhelminthes; Cestoda; Phyllobothriidea; Phyllobothriidae. The record is from RNAcentral.